UAUUGAUUGAAUUAUGAAUACAUCACCUUUUAUUUGUAAUAAUUAGCAAUAGGUCAGGGGAGUAUUUGGCAAGAUUUAACAUUUCCCUUGUCUUUUUUUCAGGCUGAUAAAAUUUUUAAAACUUUCCAACAUUGAUGUAAGGAAAAAGAUGUUUGGAUAUACAUGUAGAAUGAUAAAAGAAGAACAGUUUUUUCAGAUAUUACAGAAUCUCUGCCAGGCUUUGAAGUGCCCUGAAAAGUGAUCACGAUGAUAUGCUGCAUCGUUAUCAUGCAUUCCUAUUAGUCAUAUUAAAAAAACUGUCACCAAGCCCUUAGUGAAAAUUGGUUAUCAAAGUAUUCUUUGGCAGCACUUACAUUUUUUGAAACAUAAAUAUUGAAUUUUUUAAAAGAAAUAUGACUUCGGUGGUAUUUCUUUAAGAUAAUUGGAUGGCAGUGUUGCAAACAAGUGUUAUUAUGGACACAUUUUUUUCUAAUUGGACUCCCAGGAACCAGACUGCUUUUCAGAUUCAAACAAGAAUUUAAAAAGAAAAAAAAUGUCAGAAUAGUAAAAGAGGUACUUUGAAUAUAUUUACAGUCCACGUCCAUUUAUAUCCAGUAUAUAAUGCCUGGUGUUCACAAAUACAGGUAGAGCCCUUUUAGGAAGCAAGUUACAUAUUCCCAUAUUUUAAUAUCAGAUAUCAAAUACAAGCAUAUGGAACUGUUUUGAAUAAAGACAUAAAUUGUCCUUGGUGGUCAGCAUAUUUUUCUCUUAUUUUAAGUCUUAAAAGGAUAGCUAAUGUUUUUUGAGGUAAUGCAUUUGAAGACGGAACAUGUAUGAAAAUUUCUUCAGCAAAAAAAAAAAAAAA
Long non-coding RNA from Lingula anatina, 844 nucleotides. Lineage: Eukaryota; Metazoa; Brachiopoda; Lingulata; Lingulida; Lingulidae. The record is from RefSeq and is a predicted model, not a curated record.